Molecule: ribosomal RNA, 253 nt
Filed under: uncultured bacterium
Lineage: Bacteria
Description: partial 16S ribosomal RNA
Rfam family: Bacterial small subunit ribosomal RNA
Source: RNAcentral
UACGUAGGCAGCGAGCGUUGCUCGGAUUGACUGGGCGUAAAGGGCGCGUAGGCGGUUUGUACAGUCAGACGUGAAAUUCCUGGGCUCAACCUGGGGGCUGCGUUUGAUACGUGCAGACUUGAGUUCGGAAGAGGGUCGUGGAAUUCCCAGUGUAGAGGUGAAAUUCGUAGAUAUUGGGAAGAACACCGGUGGCGAAGGCGGCGACCUGGUCCGAUACUGACGCUGAGGCGCGAAAGCGUGGGGAGCAAACAGG